Long non-coding RNA from Neopsephotus bourkii (Bourke's parrot), 975 nucleotides. RefSeq lists it as uncharacterized. The record is from RefSeq and is a predicted model, not a curated record. The transcript has 2 exons. NCBI's taxonomy places the organism in Eukaryota, Metazoa, Chordata, Aves, Psittaciformes, Psittacidae.
AGUGUUCCCACAAGGGCUGUAUUAUAAGAAUGUUAACAGCAGAUUAUGUGCUCAUCCAAUCUCUCUGAAAAGCUUUUAAAAUUAGAGGCAUCAGAAUGAGCAAUACCUGUAUCUUCAUAAACACCAGCUAUAAAAUCCAAUCAGCUCACUGCAGAGUUAUAGCAAGUUGUCAUACUAUUUUGUACCACCAUUUCUUGGUUACAACAGAGUUCAAGUGGAAGAUUUCAAGAUGCAAGAAAGGCAAACUGGAAGUUUUGCUAUCCUACUUGCCUUCCUUCAAAACACCACUGGACCAGAGCAUUUGAUCCCAAGUACUGGUUUAAAAGCUCACAGCCAGCGAUCUCAACACAGAACCAGGGAGCCUCAGGUUUAGCCUCCCCUGUUAUCAACAGUGUUAUUAGCAGCAGUUUAGCAGCAAACCAGAGCUGCCCAUGUGCAGCAGUAAGCCAGUCUCCAAAGCCCAGGUUUAAACUGACCCUAGUGAGCUGACAUGCCCAGGCUAGAGACCCACAGUGCAGGUAGGAAGAAAGACAGUCUUUGCUCAGCACACAGCAACAGCCCAUGGUUUGGUGCGGAGCAACCAAAAAGGAUCCAGGUAAUCAAACUCUGCUCCUAAACCUGUCACAGUGUGCAGUCUUGUGCAAGUCACUAGACCCCUCUCACCUCUGGAAAACCAAACUGCUUUCUCAUGGUGGCAAAGUCUUCUGGACUCUUUGUGGGCAAGGUUGCUGAGCACUGUGAUACAACAGCUGCUCAACCACAAUUCUGCAAAAGGUUUCACUUACUCUGGUUCAGGCAAGCAUGUGCUUUAUUACUCACCAAUUAUGUUUUCAUGACAGACUUGCAGACCCAAUUAUAAGGAGUCAUGCAAAACAGAAAACCAAAGAUGCUGCUUAGAAGUGUGCACACAUUCUUUAUAUCACAUGCUUAAAAACAAACAAACCAACCCCAAAACAACCAAGAAAUAAACAAAAA